This 253-nucleotide ribosomal RNA is filed under the name uncultured bacterium. RNAcentral's name for it is "partial 16S ribosomal RNA". It matches the Rfam family "Bacterial small subunit ribosomal RNA", at positions 524 to 776 of the family's 1533-position model. The record is from RNAcentral.
UACGUAGGGUGCGAGUGUUGUUCGGAAUUAUUGGGCGUAAAGCGCGUGUAGGCGGCUUUGCAAGUCGGGUGUGAAAGCCCUCAGCUCAACUGAGGAAGUGCGCCCGAAACUGCAGAGCUUGAGAACCGGAGAGGAUGGCGGAAUUCCCCAAGUAGAGGUGAAAUUCGUAGAUAUGGGGAGGAACACCGGUGGCGAAGGCGGCCAUCUGGACGGAUUCUGACGCUGAGACGCGAAAGCGUGGGUAGCAAACAGG